This 386-nucleotide ribosomal RNA is filed under the name Bougainvillia sp. RNAcentral's name for it is "partial small subunit ribosomal RNA". It matches the Rfam family "Eukaryotic small subunit ribosomal RNA", at positions 582 to 975 of the family's 1831-position model. Lineage: Eukaryota; Metazoa; Cnidaria; Hydrozoa; Anthoathecata; Bougainvilliidae. The record is from RNAcentral.
AUUCCAGCUCCAAUAGCGUAUAUUAAAGUUGUUGCAGUUAAAAAGCUCGUAGUUGGAUUUCGGGACGGGCCAGUUGGUCCGCCGCAAGGUGUGUACUGACUGGUCUGUUCUUCUUCGCAAAGACUGCGUGUGCUCUUUAUUGAGUGUGCGUAGGAUUUACGACGUUUACUUUGAAAAAAUUAGAGUGUUCAAAGCAGGCUAUCGCUUGAAUACAUGAGCAUGGAAUAAUGGAAUAGGACUUUGGUUCUAUUUUGUUGGUUUCUAGGACCGAAGUAAUGAUUAAGAGGGACAAUUGGGGGCAUCCGUAUUUCGUUGUCAGAGGUGAAAUUCUUGGAUUUACGAAAGACGAACAACUGCGAAAGCACUUGCCAAGAGUGUUUUCAUCA